CCACCCGCGAGUCCUGGAAGAGGCAGGUCGAAGUUUGAUUUGGCCUCCAGGAAGCCUCAAAGCUGCACACUGGAGUAUGUCGCUCUAAAAGGUGAUAAGGUUAAUAGACACACAUAGACAUGAAUAUUCGGACCGCUGGAUAGAAGAGUCUGUUUUGAAUGUAGGAAGCACCAUGUGGGCUGGCAGAGGAGACGAUGAAAGAGACCUCAGCACUGGAGUCAGAAGAGACUUUGUCUCCAUCCAGUUCUGCUGUAGCAGGGCACCUUUGGGCAACCCACCAUAUUCCUUCAUCUGAGCCAUGGUGCCGCCCUCAAAAAUGGUUGGAAACAUUCAAUAAAAUAAUACAUAUGGAAACA
This 356-nucleotide long non-coding RNA is filed under the name Cricetulus griseus (Chinese hamster). RNAcentral describes it as "lncRNA (ENSCGRG00015041166.1)". Lineage: Eukaryota; Metazoa; Chordata; Mammalia; Rodentia; Cricetidae. The record is from RNAcentral.